UUAAGUUCAGCGGGUCUUCCUACCUGAUCCGAGGUCAACCUUUUGGUCGUUGUGCGGUUUAACGGCAGGGGCACGCGGCACGCCCGGAGCGAGGUGAUUGCUACUACGCUCGGUGUGACAGCGAGCCCGCCACUGGUUUUCAGGGCCUGCGGGCAGCCGCAGGUCCCCAACACAAGCCCGGGGGCUCGAUGGUCGAAAUG
Molecule: unclassified non-coding RNA, 200 nt
Filed under: Sordariales sp.
Lineage: Eukaryota; Fungi; Ascomycota; Sordariomycetes; Sordariales
Description: partial internal transcribed spacer 2
Source: RNAcentral